UACCGAGUGAGGGCCCUCUGGGUCCACCUCCCACCCGUGUUUAUUUUACCUUGUUGCUUCGGCGGGCCCGCCUUAACUGGCCGCCGGGGGGCUCACGCCCCCGGGCCCGCGCCCGCCGAAGACACCCUCGAACUCUGUCUGAAGAUUGUAGUCUGAGUGAAAAUAUAAAUUAUUUAAAACUUUCAACAACGGAUCUCUUGGUUCCGGCAUCGAUGAAGAACGCAGCGAAAUGCGAUACGUAAUGUGAAUUGCAAAUUCAGUGAAUCAUCGAGUCUUUGAACGCACAUUGCGCCCCCUGGUAUUCCGGGGGGCAUGCCUGUCCGAGCGUCAUUGCUGCCCUCAAGCACGGCUUGUGUGUUGGGCCCCGUCCUCCGAUCCCGGGGGACGGGCCCGAAAGGCAGCGGCGGCACCGCGUCCGGUCCUCGAGCGUAUGGGGCUUUGUCACCCGCUCUGUAGGCCCGGCCGGCGCUUGCCGAUCAACCCAAAUUUUUAUCCAGGUUGACCUCGGAUCACGUAGGGAUACCCGCUGAACUUAAGCAUAUC
Molecule: ribosomal RNA, 543 nt
Filed under: uncultured fungus
Lineage: Eukaryota; Fungi
Description: eukaryotic LSU rRNA
Rfam family: 5.8S ribosomal RNA (bases 178-330)
Source: RNAcentral